Molecule: ribosomal RNA, 253 nt
Filed under: uncultured bacterium
Lineage: Bacteria
Description: partial 16S ribosomal RNA
Rfam family: Bacterial small subunit ribosomal RNA
Source: RNAcentral
UACGUAGGGUGCAAGCGUUAUCCGGAAUUAUUGGGCGUAAAGAGCUCGUAGGCGGUUUGUCGCGUCUGCUGUGAAAACCGGAGGCUGAACCUCCGGCCUGCAGUGGGUACGGGCAAACUAGAGUGCGGUAGGGGAGAUUGGAAUUCCUGGUGUAGCGGUGGAAUGCGCAGAUAUCAGGAGGAACACCGAUGGCGAAGGCAGAUCUCUGGGCCGUAACUGACGCUGAGGAGCGAAAGCAUGGGGAGCGAACAGG